RNAcentral lists this ribosomal RNA (429 nucleotides) under Pseudomonadota bacterium. Its description in RNAcentral is "Proteobacteria bacterium partial 16S ribosomal RNA". It matches the Rfam family "Bacterial small subunit ribosomal RNA", at positions 355 to 776 of the family's 1533-position model. The record is from RNAcentral. Lineage: Bacteria; Pseudomonadati; Pseudomonadota.
UGGGGAAUAUUGGACAAUGGGCGAAAGCCUGAUCCAGCCAUGCCGCGUGUGUGAAGAAGGUCUUCGGAUUGUAAAGCACUUUAAGUUGGGAGGAAGGGCAGUAAGCGAAUACCUUGCUGUUUUGACGUUACCGACAGAAUAAGCACCGGCUAACUCUGUGCCAGCAGCCGCGGUAAUACAGAGGGUGCAAGCGUUAAUCGGAAUUACUGGGCGUAAAGCGCGCGUAGGUGGUUCGUUAAGUUGAAUGUGAAAGCCCCGGGCUCAACCUGGGAAAUGCAUCCAAAACUGGCGAGCUAGAGUAGGGCAGAGGGUGGUGGAAUUUCCUGUGUAGCGGUGAAAUGCGUAGAUAUAGGGAGGAACACCAGUGGCGAAGGCGACCACCUGGGCUCAUACUGACACUGAGGUGCGAAAGCGUGGGGAGCAAACAGG